GUGGGGAAUCUUGCGCAAUGGGCGAAAGCCUGACGCAGCCAUGCCGCGUGAAUGAUGAAGGUCUUAGGAUUGUAAAAUUCUUUCACCGGGGACGAUAAUGACGGUACCCGGAGAAGAAGCCCCGGCUAACUUCGUGCCAGCAGCCGCGGUAAUACGAAGGGGGCUAGCGUUGCUCGGAAUUACUGGGCGUAAAGGGCGCGUAGGCGGACAGUUUAGUCAGAGGUGAAAGCCCAGGGCUCAACCUUGGAAUUGCCUUUGAUACUGGCUGUCUUGAGUACGGGAGAGGUGAGUGGAACUCCGAGUGUAGAGGUGAAAUUCGUAGAUAUUCGGAAGAACACCAGUGGCGAAGGCGACUCACUGGCCCAAUACUGACGCUGAGGCGCGAAAGCGUGGGGAGCAAACAGGAUUAGAUACCCGUGUAGUCC
This 425-nucleotide ribosomal RNA is filed under the name uncultured bacterium. RNAcentral's name for it is "partial 16S ribosomal RNA". It matches the Rfam family "Bacterial small subunit ribosomal RNA", at positions 354 to 796 of the family's 1533-position model. The record is from RNAcentral.